Molecule: ribosomal RNA, 305 nt
Filed under: uncultured bacterium
Lineage: Bacteria
Description: bacterial SSU rRNA
Rfam family: Bacterial small subunit ribosomal RNA
Source: RNAcentral
UCCCUACGGGGGGCAGCAGUGAGGAAUAUUGGUCAAUGGGCGAGAGCCUGAACCAGCCAAGUCGCGUGAGGGAAGACGGUCCUAUGGAUUGUAAACCUCUUUUGCCGGGGAGCAAAAAGCGGUACGUGUACCGCAUCGAGAGUACCCGGAGAAAAAGCAUCGGCUAACUCCGUGCCAGCAGCCGCGGUAAUACGGAGGAUGCGAGCGUUAUCCGGAUUUAUUGGGUUUAAAGGGUGCGUAGGCGGACUGUCAAGUCAGCGGUAAAAUACGGGGGCUCAACCUCCGCCCGCCGUUGAAACUGACGG